This is a long non-coding RNA of Folsomia candida, 1068 nucleotides long. RefSeq lists it as uncharacterized. The record is from RefSeq and is a predicted model, not a curated record. Lineage: Eukaryota; Metazoa; Arthropoda; Collembola; Entomobryomorpha; Isotomidae. The transcript has 4 exons.
UCAAAUCCCUUAAACCUGUAGAACAGUUGAAUUCACUCAUUCACCUCACCCUGAGACGGGAUUAUUUGACAUGAUUUAUUUUAAAGGUUGGGUUAAUUACGAUUAAUGUUAAUAUUAAUUAAUUCUCCAGAUUAUCACGCUACAUAUGUACAUAUUUCUCCCCAACGGAAAACAAGCUACACUUAAUUAAUUAAAUCAUAGAAAUCUUCACAGAUAUUUAGUCAAAACUCGACAUGGAAUUCCCCAGAGAAAUUUCUAUACCCCAUGUCGCCCUUAAUUUCCCCGAGAGGUCGACGCAGCCGAUCUCACGCCGCCGCGCCGCCAUACGCCGAUGAUUUUUCCGCGCCGCCGCCGCCGAAAAAAUUGAUUUCCUAUUCCAUUAACAUUGCGACGCCGCGCCGCGCCGCCGACGCCGCCGAAAAAUCACCAAAAACUGGCGCCGCCGCCGAAAAUUUGUCGGCGUCGACCUCUGACUCGAUUUUGAAACCUAUUCCCAUUGCUACUUUUACAAAAUAAAGAUUCUAAUUACAUCCAAAAACAUUGAAAUAGGUUGAUAAAGUUAGGAACGAGCAGUUUGAUUCUCUUAUUUUGGUUAUUGCGUCGUCCUAAAUAUAUUUACACACAGUUAUAUUUUACUCUAUUUUAAUGGAGUAAAUUUGACAAAACCUUAUUUCGAGUGAAUAAACAAAAUUAUUAUUGGUAUUUAUUUUAAGAGUUUCUAAAAACGGUAACAAGAAAAUAGUUGUAAGGAAAGGAAUUUAGGAAAAUUUUGGUGAAAACUUUUUUUCAAACCUAUUGACCCUGAGAUUCUCUAUAUUAUUUCUCUCAAACCUGUUGACCCUAAAAAAAUACUAACAAUUCGAUGGUGUGAUAUAAGAUGGUUAUCGCCGAUAUCCACCGGACUAAUUUUAAAUUGUUCACGCUCAAAAAUAAGUGAACGCAUAUUUUUGCCCUUUCCUAAAUGGGCAUGUUUACGCCCUUGGCGGAGUUUUCAAAAAGAAAUUCAAAAUUCUGAUUUUUAAAAACGCUGGAACUUAUUGAAUUUGAACCUGAUUUAAAAAAAAAAAU